Bubalus bubalis (water buffalo) is the source of this 2409-nucleotide long non-coding RNA. RefSeq lists it as uncharacterized. The record is from RefSeq and is a predicted model, not a curated record. The transcript has 8 exons. Lineage: Eukaryota; Metazoa; Chordata; Mammalia; Artiodactyla; Bovidae.
GGUUAAACCUACCUUCCUGCAUCUUCUUCCUACACAGCCUCAGCCUCCUCAUGAUCUGAAACCAGGAGAUUUCAUGUAUUAGAAGAGACAUCAGAGAAAACCUACUCUUGAACUUCAUUGGAAAGGACCUCAUCAGCCCCAUCUGGAAUUCUAGAAAGAGACAGCCUCACUUGGAUCCCAUCUGGCAACACAGAGCAGCUGCUGUCAAAUAGAAAUGGAGUUGUGGCAGACUGAAGGUGCUGACAAUACAAAUCCUGAUUCUAAGUGACUUGGCCAGAUUCCUAUCUGCAGAUCACCAGGAUUUUCUGGUUUCUGUCAGCAAGACCUGCUGUCCCAAUUCCAGAACCUCGUGUCUGCUUCACGGUCAAGCUCCCUGGAGGAAGAGCAGAGGUGUGGAAGAGGCAGAUCUAUAAAGAAGUUCUAAGCAUGAGGCUGUCAGUAGGAGUGAAAAGAAGGUGCUCUGCUUUUUGCCCUUGCUCCUGACAGAUGCUGCAGCCCACACCCAGGUCCAGCCAUCCUCUGUGGAACUCAGGUCACCUCUGAGAGUAAGAACUGUGGUCUCCGAGUCCUCUCUGCCCACAUCUUCUGCCCCUGCACAGCGCCCCCUGGAAUCUGGCCAGACUCCUCCCCUGGGUUUUAUCUGUGAUUCUGCCUUCCCCCUUUGGAUGGAGACGAAGGUGUUCCCACAAGUUCCUCUGCUGGAGUGCCCAGUGCCAGGCUAAGGUAUGAGGAAUGAGAAUGCAUUUUGUUAAAGGGGACGAUGUCCUUGAGCUGGUUGUUUCUGAAUGGAAAGUGCAGGCCAGAUUAAUAUGGACCCAGAAAAUUGUGGAAGGUUUGUGGCGGAAGAACACUGAGCUUUGCGCAUGUUCAGGACUGGCUGAGAUAGGGUUGAAUUUCAUUAAGAAAAUGAAUGUGAAAGGUAAAGUGGUUUAGAACCUGAUCUGGUUCUCUAAGAGAAGUUUUCUUAAAAUACUGAACUGUUUUUGGUAAUUGUGAAUUUCUUUAAGUGAUCUCUUUGCCAGUGAGAUCUUUUAUUACCACUGGUUAAAGGUUUUUUAUAUUUUGAUAAACUUCCCCUCCUGGGGUUCCUGUUACAUCCAGAUCUGGGAUCCUCAGCCCCUCAGCUAAUUGGAGGCCCUUUUCCUUAUUUUUUUUCCUGCUGGGCACACUGGCCUCACCAGGGCAGCCGCUCCAACAAACACACAUACACACAUUUAGACAAACACAUGCACACUCCCUCCCAAAGGCCUGUGGGUGAGCAGAGGGCAACCAGAGACAGUAGAUGCCUCCUCCAGUGUGGGGGCCUCCGAUCUCCAGCCUGGACUUUCUGCUUCCUUGAGUGUGGAGUCCAACCAGAGAACCAGGCAAGGGAAAGAACGAGCUGAGGGGUGCAGGCCAGGCUCUGGAAGGACAGGAGGGAAGUUCUAGGGUCAGUUUAUAAUCAUGAAGCUCUCCCCUCUAUCCCUUUUCUCCUGGAUAUAGAACAUGAAAAACUCAGCCUUUUGCAGCGGUCAUUGGGGGUUCCCAUGUGGACAGAGGGGCUGUCCCCCAAAUCCCAUUGCAGGGACUGGACUGGAGAGGGUGGCGUUGCUGCCAACAUACUGAUUCAACACGAAUUCCAGAAAGUAGAUGUGGACUAAAGAAGCUGGCCCAUAUUGCUCGCAAGUCAUUGCCAGGAAGAAAACCUAAGUUUUAAAAGGGCAAUAAAAAAACCUCUUUAAAACAUAAUAAAUCCAGGCAGAGCAGAAAGGGCCUGAAGUUCCCAAAUCCCUGUGGGUCCUACCUCAGCCCGCCUGAGAGUCUGCCCAUCUGGGCCUGAGAGCUUGCGCAGUUGGCAGGAGAGGUUCACUGGGGCGAGGCAGGCAGCGUGCCUGCUUACAGAGCCCAGCACCGGGGAAGCAAGCUGGCUGCGCCCGCCCUGGAGGGCUGGGCCACUCGAGUUUGACCUUGCUUCUGACCCACAUACUAGGUCCAUCUGAAAGGCUGAGUUAGACACCCCUCACCCUCCCAGGAAGUGAACCCUGCCCCCAGCAGCCGUUUCCAAAUGAUACCAGGGACCCUCCCACUCUCUGCUUAGGGUCCCCAGAAACAGUAGGGCCGAGGGGAGGUCUGAAAAGCAGUGGAGCGUUUUCACGGGCGGGUGGGACUCGAGGUCAGAGAAGAGUGCCCAUGGAGGCCCUGCGUCUCAGCUGCGUCCCCACAGUGAGCUGAAGACAAAGGAAAAAACGAGGGAGGGUUGAAUCGUAUACUUUCUAAACAGUGGAGUAGAGAGGCUUAGGCCUCUAUUCAUUAAGUACUUAAAAAAAUAAAUCUUUCCGUUUUAUCACUUUAAAUUAUACCAAUAACUUUACAUUUGCCUUAAAAAAAAAAAAAAAGCAAAACUCCAAGUUCUCUUUAAUACCACUCCAA